RNAcentral lists this ribosomal RNA (434 nucleotides) under uncultured Roseburia sp. RNAcentral's name for it is "partial 16S ribosomal RNA". It matches the Rfam family "Bacterial small subunit ribosomal RNA", at positions 341 to 792 of the family's 1533-position model. Lineage: Bacteria; Bacillati; Bacillota; Clostridia; Lachnospirales; Lachnospiraceae. The record is from RNAcentral.
ACGGAAGGCAGCAGUGGGGAAUAUUGCACAAUGGGGGAAACCCUGAUGCAGCGACGCCGCGUGAGUGAUGAAGUAUUUCGGUAUGUAAAGCUCUAUCAGCAGGGAAGAUAAUGACGGUACCUGACUAAGAAGCACCGGCUAAAUACGUGCCAGCAGCCGCGGUAGUACGUAUGGUGCAAGCGUUAUCCGGAUUUACUGGGUGUAAAGGGAGCGUAGGCGGUACGGCAAGUCUGAAGUGAAAUCCCAGGGCUCAACCUUGGAACUGCUUUGGAAACUGUCGAACUAGAGUGUCGGAGAGGUAAGUGGAAUUUCUAGUGUAGCGGUGAAAUGCGUAGAUAUUAGGAGGAACACCAGUGGCGAAGGCGGCUUACUGGACGAUUACUGACGCUGAGGCUCGAAAGCGUGGGGAGCAAACAGGAUUAGAUACCCUGGUA